Molecule: ribosomal RNA, 433 nt
Filed under: uncultured bacterium
Lineage: Bacteria
Description: partial 16S ribosomal RNA
Rfam family: Bacterial small subunit ribosomal RNA
Source: RNAcentral
AACGAACGCUGGCGGCAGGCCUAACACAUGCAAGUCGAGCGCGCCCUUCGGGGUGAGCGGCGGACGGGUGAGUAACGCGUGGGAACGUGCCCUUUUCUACGGAAUAGCCUCGGGAAACUGAGAGUAAUACCGUAUACGCCCUUUGGGGGAAAGAUUUAUCGGAAAAGGAUCGGCCCGCGUUGGAUUAGGUAGUUGGUGGGGUAAUGGCCUACCAAGCCGACAAUCCAUAGCUGGUUUGAGAGGAUGAUCAGCCACACUGGGACUGAGACACGGCCCAGACUCCUACGGGAGGCAGCAGUGGGGAAUCUUAGACAAUGGGGGCAACCCUGAUCUAGCCAUGCCGCGUGAGUGAUGAAGGCCUUAGGGUUGUAAAGCUCUUUCAGCUGGGAAGAUAAUGACGGUACCAGCAGAAGAAGCCCCGGCUAACUCCGUG